AGAGUUUGAUCCUGGCUCAGGAUGAACGCUGGCGGCGUGCUUAACACAUGCAAGUCGAACGAAGACAUCUGAGUGCUUGCACUUGGAUGGACUGAGUGGCGGACGGGUGAGUAACGCGUGGGUAACCUGCCUUAUACAGGGGGAUAACAGUUGGAAACGACUGCUAAUACCGCAUAAGCGCACGGUAUCGCAUGAUACAGUGUGAAAAACUCCGGUGGUAUAAGAUGGACCCGCGUCUGAUUAGCUAGUUGGUGAGGUAACGGCCCACCAAGGCGACGAUCAGUAGCCGGCCUGAGAGGGUGUACGGCCACAUUGGGACUGAGACACGGCCCAAACUCCUACGGGAGGCAGCAGUGGGGAAUAUUGCACAAUGGGGGAAACCCUGAUGCAGCGACGCCGCGUGAGUGAUGAAGUAUUUCGGUAUGUAAAACUCUAUCAGCAGGGAAGAUAAUGACGGUACCUGACUAAGAAGCACCGGCUAAAUACGUGCCAGCAGCCGCGGU
RNAcentral lists this ribosomal RNA (503 nucleotides) under uncultured bacterium. Its description in RNAcentral is "bacterial SSU rRNA". It matches the Rfam family "Bacterial small subunit ribosomal RNA", at positions 8 to 521 of the family's 1533-position model. The record is from RNAcentral.